UGGCUCAGGACGAACGCUGGCGGCGUGCUUAACACAUGCAAGUCGAACGAAGCUGGGAGAAAGAUUCUUCGGAAUGAAUCUCUAAGACUGAGUGGCGACGGGUGAGUAACGCGUGAGCAACCUGCCCUUCGAGGGGGAUAGUGUCUGGAAACGGACAGUAAUACCGCAUAACGUACAGAUACGGCAUCGUGACUGUACCAAAGAUUUAUCGCCGAAGGAUGGGCUCGCGUCUGAUUAGAUAGUUGGUGGGGUAACGGCCUACCAAGUCGACGAUCAGUAGCCGGACUGAGAGGUUGAUCGGCCACAUUGGGACUGAGACACGGCCCAGACUCCUACGGGAGGCAGCAGUGGGGAAUAUUGCACAAUGGGCGCAAGCCUGAAUGCAGCAACGCCGCGUGGAGGAAGACGGUUUUCGGAUUGUAAACUCCUGUUCUUAGGGAAGAAGACAGUGACGGUACCUAAGGAGAAAGCCACGGCUAACUACGUGCCAGCAGCUGC
RNAcentral lists this ribosomal RNA (498 nucleotides) under uncultured bacterium. RNAcentral's name for it is "bacterial SSU rRNA". It matches the Rfam family "Bacterial small subunit ribosomal RNA", at positions 20 to 518 of the family's 1533-position model. The record is from RNAcentral.